RNAcentral lists this ribosomal RNA (293 nucleotides) under uncultured bacterium. RNAcentral describes it as "partial 16S ribosomal RNA". It matches the Rfam family "Bacterial small subunit ribosomal RNA", at positions 775 to 1067 of the family's 1533-position model. The record is from RNAcentral.
GGAUUAGAUACCCUGGUAGUCCACGCCGUAAACGAUGUCUACUAGCCGUUGGGAAGCUUGUCUUCCAAGUGGCGCAGCUAACGCGAUAAGUAGACCGCCUGGGGAGUACGGUCGCAAGAUUAAAACUCAAAUGAAUUGACGGGGGCCCGCACAAGCGGUGGAGCAUGUGGUUUAAUUCGAAGCAACGCGAAGAACCUUACCUGGUCUUGACAUCCUGCGAACGCUUUAGAGACAAAGCGGUGCCUUCGGGAGCGCAGAGACAGGUGCUGCAUGGCUGUCGUCAGCUCGUGUUG